CUCCCUGGUGGCGAGCGGCGGACGGGUGAGUAAUGCAUAGGAAUCUGCCCGGUAGUGGGGGAUAACGUGGGGAAACCCACGCUAAUACCGCAUACGUCCUACGGGAGAAAGCAGGGGAUCUUCGGACCUUGCGCUAUCGGAUGAGCCUAUGUCGGAUUAGCUAGUUGGUAAGGUAACGGCUUACCAAGGCGACGAUCCGUAGCUGGUCUGAGAGGAUGAUCAGCCACACUGGGACUGAGACACGGCCCAGACUCCUACGGGAGGCAGCAGUGGGGAAUAUUGGACAAUGGGCGAAAGCCUGAUCCAGCCAUGCCGCGUGUGUGAAGAAGGCUUUCGGGUUGUAAAGCACUUUCAGCGAGGAAGAAAGCCUCUGGGUUAAUACUUCAGAGGAAGGACAUCACUCGCAGAAGAAGCACCGGCUAACUCCGUGCCAGCAGCCGCGGUAAUACGGAGGGUGCGAGCGUUAAUCGGAAUUACUGGGCGUAAAGCGCGCGUAGGUGGCUUGGCACGCCGGUUGUGAAAGCCCCGGGCUCAACCUGGGAACGGCAUCCGGAACGGCCAGGCUAGAGUGCAGGAGAGGAAGGUAGAAUUCCCGGUGU
This 599-nucleotide ribosomal RNA is filed under the name Salinicola lusitanus. RNAcentral's name for it is "bacterial SSU rRNA". It matches the Rfam family "Bacterial small subunit ribosomal RNA", at positions 81 to 676 of the family's 1533-position model. Lineage: Bacteria; Pseudomonadati; Pseudomonadota; Gammaproteobacteria; Oceanospirillales; Halomonadaceae. The record is from RNAcentral.